AGGCAGCAGUGGGGGAAUAUUGCACAAUGGGCGCAAGCCUGAUGCAGCCAUGCCGCGUGUAUGAAGAAGGCCUUCGGGUUGUAAAGUACUUUCAGCAGUGAGGAAGGUGGUGUCGUUAAUAGCGGCAUCAUUUGACGUUAGCUGCAGAAGAAGCACCGGCUAACUCCGUGCCAGCAGCCGCGGUAAUACGGAGGGUGCGAGCGUUAAUCGGAAUUACUGGGCGUAAAGCGCAUGCAGGUGGUUUGUUAAGUCAGAUGUGAAAGCCCGGGGCUCAACCUCGGAAUUGCAUUUGAAACUGGCAGACUAGAGUACUGUAGAGGGGGUAGGAAUUUCAGGUGUAGCGGUGAAAUGCGUAGAGAUCUGAAGGAAUACCGGUGGCGAAGGCGGCCCCCUGGACAGAUACUGACACUCAGAUGCGAAAGCGUGGGGAGCAAACAGGAUUAGAUACCCUGGUAG
Molecule: ribosomal RNA, 456 nt
Filed under: uncultured bacterium
Lineage: Bacteria
Description: bacterial SSU rRNA
Rfam family: Bacterial small subunit ribosomal RNA
Source: RNAcentral